ACCGCGAUAGCUCAGCCGGUAGAGCAUCUGCCUGAUAUGCGGACGGUCGCCGGUUCGAUUCCGGCUCGCGGCG
This 73-nucleotide transfer RNA is filed under the name Fasciola hepatica (liver fluke). It matches the Rfam family "tRNA". Rfam says of the family: Transfer RNA (tRNA) molecules are approximately 80 nucleotides in length. Their secondary structure includes four short double-helical elements and three loops (D, anti-codon, and T loops). The record is from Rfam by way of RNAcentral. Lineage: Eukaryota; Metazoa; Platyhelminthes; Trematoda; Plagiorchiida; Fasciolidae.